GGAUUAGGCAUGCAAGUCGAACGAGAAAGGUUUCGCAAGAGACCGAGUAAAGUGGCGGAAGGGCGAGUAAUGCAUGGAUAACCUACCUCCGAGAUGGGAAUAACUACUCGAAAGGGUAGCUAAUACCCAAUAAGACCACGGGUCGCAUGGCCCGUGCUUAAAGAUGGGGACCCGCAAGGGCCUUUCGCUCGGUGAGGGGUUCAUGUCCUAUCAGCUAGUUGGUGAGGUAACGGCUCACCAAGGCGAUGACGGGUAGCCGACCUGAGAGGGUGACCGGCCGCACUGGGACUGAGACACUGCCCAGACUCCUACGGGAGGCUGCAGUCGAGGAUCUUCCGCAAUGCGCGAAAGCGUGACGGAGCGACGCCGCGUGGGUGAUGAAGGCCUUCGGGUUGUAAAGCCCUGUCACCUGGGAAGAAUGGCGGGAGGUGAAUAGCCAUCCUGUCUGACGCUACCAGGAGAGGAAGCACCGGCUAAAUACGUGCCAGCAGCCGCGGUAAUACGUAUGGUGCGAACGUUGUUCGGAAUCACUGGGCAUAAAGAGCACGUAGGCGGUUGAGCAAGUCCAUUGUGAAAUCCCCCGGCUUAACCGGGGAACUGCAGUGGAUACUACUUGACUUGAGUGCAGGAGGGGAGAGUGGAAUUCCAGGUGGAGCGGUGAAAUGCGUAGAUAUCUGGAGGAACGCCGGUGGCGAAAGCGACUCU
RNAcentral lists this ribosomal RNA (705 nucleotides) under uncultured bacterium. Its description in RNAcentral is "bacterial SSU rRNA". It matches the Rfam family "Bacterial small subunit ribosomal RNA", at positions 46 to 728 of the family's 1533-position model. The record is from RNAcentral.